AUACGAGUGGUGCAAGCGUUAUUCGGAAUCAUUGGGCGUACAGGGUGUGUAGGCGGCAUGUUAAGUCUGUUGUUAAAGACUCCGGCCUAACCGGAGAUGGGCAGCGGAAACUGGCAUACUAGAGGUUGGAAGAGAGAAGCGGAAUUCUCGGUGUAGCGGUAAAAUGCGUAGAUAUCGAGAGGAACACCGAUGGCGAAGGCAGCUUCUUGGUCCAUACCUGACGCUGAAACACGAAAGCGUGGGGAGCAAACAGGAUUAGGUACCCUGGUAGUCCACGCUGUAAACGAUGAUCACUAGACGUUGGUUCUGUUUUACAGAAUCAGUGUCGCAGCUAACGCGUUAAGUGAUCCGCCUGGGGAGUACGGUCGCAAGAUUAAA
Molecule: ribosomal RNA, 378 nt
Filed under: uncultured bacterium
Lineage: Bacteria
Description: bacterial SSU rRNA
Rfam family: Bacterial small subunit ribosomal RNA
Source: RNAcentral